UAGGGAAUCUUCGGCAAUGGGGGGAACCCUGACCGAGCAACGCCGCGUGAGUGAAGAAGGUUUUCGGAUCGUAAAGCUCUGUUGUUAAGGAAGAACGAGUGUGAGAAUGGAAAGUUCAUACUGUGACGGUACUUAACCAGAAAGGGACGGCUAACUACGUGCCAGCAGCCGCGGUAAUACGUAGGUCCCGAGCGUUGUCCGGAUUUAUUGGGCGUAAAGGGUACGCAGGCGGUUUAAUAAGUCGAAUGUUAAAGAUCGGGGCUCAACCCCGUAAAGCAUUGGAAACUGAUAAACUUGAGUAGUGGAGAGGAAAGUGGAAUUCCUAGUGUAGUGGUGAAAUACGUAGAUAUUAGGAGGAAUACCAGUAGCGAAGGCGACUUUCUGGACACAAACUGACGCUGAGGUACGAAAGCGUGGGGAGCAAACAGG
This 429-nucleotide ribosomal RNA is filed under the name Bacteroidota bacterium. RNAcentral describes it as "Bacteroidetes bacterium partial 16S ribosomal RNA". It matches the Rfam family "Bacterial small subunit ribosomal RNA", at positions 355 to 776 of the family's 1533-position model. The record is from RNAcentral. Lineage: Bacteria; Pseudomonadati; Bacteroidota.